GGAAACAUUGUUGCACUUGGGCAACCAUUGAAAUACGCCUUUAAGAACCAAGUAUCUCCUAAGUUAUAGCAAUGGUAUUUCCUUUCUUGCAACAAUAGUGAUAAGUCAAGUGAUGAUGAGAAUGACUUUCGCUAUUUGAUUUCUUUAAAACAAAAUUAUACUUUUUGUAUGGUACAUUUAAAGAUCUUUUAAGUUUUGUUGGCUUAAUAGCGAAGGUAACUUUUGGUUCUAAGGCCUUGUGCAUUUUGACUUUUAGAAUAAUAACCUCUUUUUUC
This 275-nucleotide long non-coding RNA is filed under the name Lathyrus oleraceus (garden pea). RNAcentral describes it as "Pisum sativum (pea) long non-coding RNA (PSAT_LNC023957)". Lineage: Eukaryota; Viridiplantae; Streptophyta; Magnoliopsida; Fabales; Fabaceae. The record is from RNAcentral.